RNAcentral lists this ribosomal RNA (516 nucleotides) under Dacus bivittatus. RNAcentral describes it as "partial 16S ribosomal RNA". The stretch from base 392 to 516 matches the Rfam family "Bacterial large subunit ribosomal RNA", at positions 2473 to 2597 of the family's 2925-position model. Lineage: Eukaryota; Metazoa; Arthropoda; Insecta; Diptera; Tephritidae. The record is from RNAcentral.
GUCUUUUUGAGUUAUUUUUAAAGUCUGACCUGCCCACUGAAUUUAUUUUAAAUGGCCGCAGUAUUCUAACUGUGCAAAGGUAGCAUAAUCAUUAGUCUUUUAAUUGAAGGCUGGUAUGAACGGUUGGACGAGGUAUAAGCUGUUUCAUAUAAAUUUAUAAUAGAAUUUUAUAUUUUAGUCAAAAAGCUAAAAUGUAAUUAAAAGACGAGAAGACCCUAUAAAUCUUUAUAAUUUAUAUAAUUUAAAUUUUUUGGAUUUUGUUUUAUUUUUAUUGUAUAAAUUAUUUUGUUGGGGUGAUGUUAAAAUUUAAUGAACUUUUAAUUGAAUUUAAAUCAUUAAUUUAUGAAUUAUUGAUCCAUUAGUAGUGAUUAUAAGAUUAAGUUACUUUAGGGAUAACAGCGUAAUUUUUUUGGAGAGUUCAUAUCGAUAAAAAAGUUUGCGACCUCGAUGUUGGAUUAAGAUAUAAUUUUAGGUGUAGCCGCUUAAAUGUUAAGUCUGUUCGACUUUUAAAUUCUU